CAAUAGCGUAUAUUAAAGUUGUUGCAGUUAAAAAGCUCGUAGUUGGAUUUCUGGUCGGAAGCUCCUGUCCUCUGAUGAGCGUACAAGUGCGUCCUACCAUCCUUCUGUUAACCUUUAAGGCUUUCGCGGCUUUCUAGGGGCUCAGAUAUUUUACCUUGAGAAAAUUAGAGUGUUUCAGGCAGGCUAGCGCCGGAAUACAUUAGCAUGGAAUAAUGGAAUAGGACUUUUGCCUCUUCUGUGGGUCAUGAGGCUCGAGUAAUGAUUAAUAGGGAUAGUUGGGGGCAUUAGUACUUAACUGUCAGAGGUGAAAUUCUCGGAUUUGUUAAAGACUAACUUAUGCGAAAGCAUUUGCCAAGGAUGUUUUCAUUAA
Molecule: ribosomal RNA, 370 nt
Filed under: uncultured eukaryote
Lineage: Eukaryota
Description: partial 18S ribosomal RNA
Rfam family: Eukaryotic small subunit ribosomal RNA
Source: RNAcentral